Non-coding RNA from Cricetulus griseus (Chinese hamster), 617 nucleotides. NCBI's taxonomy places the organism in Eukaryota, Metazoa, Chordata, Mammalia, Rodentia, Cricetidae. The record is from RefSeq and is a predicted model, not a curated record.
AGGAAGCUGCAGUUACAGUGAUGUCAUUCUUGUCCCGUGUAGAACCUUCCCUCAGAUCCUGGCUCCCAUUAUCUUCAGCACUUCCAUCUCCAAUGUCAGCGUUUCUAUUCAGCUUGGAGACACACCACCUUUUGCUUUGGGGUUCAAUUCCAUCUCCCUGGAUUACCAGCACCUCCGACCACAAAGUAUCCAUCAGCGGGCUGUCCUGACUGUGGAUCACCUCUGCUGGCGGGUGGGCAGUGAGUCCCACAUUCAGCGGGCACCACACCCACCUAAUAUGCAUGUCUGGGGAGAAGCACUUGUCCUGGACUCUUUCACACUGCAGGGUAGCUAUAACCAGCCCCUGGGUUUGUCCAGCACCCAAUCCAAUACUCUCUUUCUUGACUGUACUAUUCGAGGACUUCAGGUAGAAAUAUCAGACAUCUGUGCCCAGUGUCUGUCUCGAAUCCUAUCCUUAGUGAUUCCACAGUCUGAAAAGUCAGCUGUCUCUAGGAAGUCUUUGCUUGGGGAGUCUGUGACCUUACUGUGGAAGGUGGACUUGAAGGUGGAAGACAUGAACCUGUUCACUCUUUCUGCACUGGUUGGUAAGUGGAGCAGGAAGUGGGUAGUAUGCCAAU